Molecule: long non-coding RNA, 3728 nt
Organism: Musca domestica (house fly)
Lineage: Eukaryota; Metazoa; Arthropoda; Insecta; Diptera; Muscidae
Exons: 4
Source: RefSeq, a predicted model, not a curated record
AACAAGUUCCGACUUCCGGCGUUACAGUUGUCAAAAAAAACUAUGAGACUUGGCAUAACUUUUGAAAAUUUAGCUGGCCGCCCUGCGUAUCCGGUUCUCUUUUUUGGCUGGCGUUCAGGACGUUCGGUGGAUCAAAUUCCACAUUAUAAAAAUUGUAAUUAUAAUGGUGAUGAACGCAAAAAAAACUUCACCACUUUAGUAAAAAAAUUAAAGAAAGUGGUGAUGUGCGUAAAUCUUUACGUCCUGUGGAGCGGAUUGAGUUUCUUUUCUUCACCACCAUCAGUCCACCCGUCAGUCGACGUGACCAAACAAAUUUUCCAGUGUCUCAUUUUUCCCAUUCGGAUAAAGACGAAUCUAAAAAUUACCUGAUUAUAUUAAUUCUUGGAAGUCUCAUGCUAGGAACACAAUUGGAGCGAACGACGAAUUUUUUCGCGGCGUAUGUUCGUCGUCAAAAAUAAAACACAUAUGUGUAUAUGGAAGUGCACACAAUCACGGCACCGGCGAAAAUUUCGUCGGUCGCCGCGAACUCAAUUAGCUUUAUUUCUAUUUCAUACGCCGGCGACCGGCGAACAAAAUAGUACAAGGUGGCCAUACUUGUACGAAUUUUAUGUGUUUUAGUAAAUAAAGUUACUUUUUACUUUAAAAUUUGUUAUGGUCACUCUACUAUCUGUUACUCGUAUAAAAAAAACAUAAUUAAUUUGUUUAUUUAUUUGUGUACUUGCGCCUGAGUGAAGAUGGAUAUCAGUGAAUUUAUAAUAGAGAAGAUGGACAUAAGUGAAAUUAUAAUAGAGAACGUAAAGAAUUAUGUGUUCUUGUAUAAUUCAUUGUAGUCAACAAAUGAGCAAAAAGUAAACAACUUCAUCAGCUGUUUUAUAAUUUCGUCGGUAUUGUGUUCCAUACGACGAAUUUUCGCGGCUCAUUUUGUCGCUGCGUAGGGCGAAAUUCGUCGUUCGCUCCAAUUGUGUUCCUAGCAUCAUGCGUAAGUAUGUGUGUGUGUGUGCAGGCACGCUGCAUCCAUUGAAAAACUCUAUUCACACACACAUGCACGAAGUAGCCGCAGUCGUGUAAACGUACAUUAAGGGUGCGCAACGCCGUUAAUUUCCCUACACCGAUCAUUCAUGCCUUUCGUAUGAAUCCCCACGUGAUGUUGAUGUUGUGUAAUGCGGCAGCUCAUUCAACCAUGAAAAUUUUCCAAUCGGACAAACUAAUGAAAGAGAAAUUUGGCGGACUGCCCGGCAACCAUCUCUCGUGAAUCUCUUUGGACAAUUGGAAAACGCAGACCGUGGAAACAUCUAUUUGUUUACAAUGGUAACUUCGCUCACAAAUUUUCAACAUACCCCGAAAUGCAUGAAAGGGGUUGAUUUCUACCCGUUGGACGACGGUGCUAAAUGCAACAUCUUGUGCAGGUAACCGGCUAUGUUUGUGUGUCGAAAAUGCAUAAAACAAAUAAAGUGAAAGUGAGAACUAUUUAAAAUUAGCAGUGCGUCUGCCUGAAGCUGUUUUUAUACCCUCCACCUUGGAAAGGAGGGUAUAUUAACUUUGUCAUAUUAACUUUGUCUGUCUGUCUGUUGAAAUCACGAUACAUUUGCCACGAUACAUUAUUUGACGUAGAGCGCCAAAAUUUAGCAGCUAUUUGUAUUGUGUCUAGGAUGGUUGGUAUUGAAAAUGAGAUAUAUCGGUCCACGUUCUGGUAUAGUCCCCAUAUAACGGUACCUCCUGAUAUUCGGUAUUUUAAUUUUUUUGCCACAUUUUUUCACGGAUUUGUCUGAAAAUUGGUACUUGAAGGUCAUAAUAGGUCCCUGUGCUUGUGGCAAAACAUUGCAUGUAUGGGUCCACGUUUUGGUAUAGCCCCCAUAUAAAGGUACCUCCCGAUAUUCGGUAUUUUAAUUUUUUUGCCACAUUUUUUCACUGAUUUGUCUAAAAAUUGGUAUUUGUUGGUCAUAAUGGGUUCCAGCUCCGGUGGCGAAACAUUGCAUGUAUGGGUCCAUGAUUUGGUAUAGCCCCCAUAUAACGGUACCUCCCAAUAUUCGGUAUUUUGAUGGUUUUUGGUAUUUGUGGGUCAUAAUGGGUUCUAGUUCGUGUGGCGGGUCAUUGUAAUUAUAGGUCCACGUUUUGAUAUAGUCCCCAUAUAACGGUACCUCCCGAUAUUCAUUAUUUUGAUGAUUUAUGCCACAUUUUUUCAAGAAUUUCUCUAAAAAUUUGUAGUUGUAGAUCAUAAUGGGUCCCAGUUUGUGUGGCGAGUCAUUGUAAUUAUAGGACCACGUUUUGGUAUAGCCCCCAUAUAACGGUACCUCCCGAUAUUCGGUAAUUUGAUGAUUUUUGCCACAUUUUUUUUCACGGAUUUGUCGGAAAAUUGGUAUUUAUAGGUCAUAAUGGGUUCUAGCUACUUUGGCGAAACAUUCUAUGUGUAGGUCCACGAUUUGGUCUAGCCCCCAUAUAACGGUACCUCCCGAUAUUCGGCAUUUUAAUGGUUUUUGCCACAUUUCUUCUAAUGUUUCCUUUACCCUAAGGUGGAGGGUAUUAAAAGUUAGGCCCGGCCGAACUUAAUGUUUUUUUGUGAACAUAAAUUGCCGGGGAAUAAAAAUGAAGAGAUUCUGUGCGGAUUGAUAGAUUGUCAAGAAACGCAAAUAGGACAAUUAAAUGGAAUUCCAAUAACUGAUUGGCGUAGUUGCAGAACUUCGUCGAAAAAAGGUUGUUUUAGAAUAGUGUACUACAAGCGUACGAAAAGUACUUUGUUUGGUAUUGGAAGAAAAUAAAAGACAUAUAAGACUUUCUGAUGGAAAGAAGCAAAAAUGAUCCCAAUUAUUCUUUCCCAGAACUCAUGGUAGAAAAAUACAGGUAACAGCAAGUGUUGUUGUACAACAAACGCAACAACAACCACAUACAAAUUUGUUUUUGUCUAUUGUUUUAUGUCUAAAAAUGUAAACAAGACAAUUAAUUUUCAUUAAAUUAUUUGAAAUUCAAAAAUGCUCAUUUUUGGAAUGUGGAUUUCUGAAUUAAAAAUGGAGAACGAAUACUCGAAAAAAGUUUAAUUGUAAUGCUUUAAUACAUUUGCCUUGAAUGUGCAGAAUUUCGGUAUAAAUAUGGAAACAAAUCCCAUACACCGCCGUUAGCGUUUAAUAAGAUCUAAUAUCGUUUAUAUCCAAUUAUUGAGAAAAAUAUUUCACAUUGCACAACAGUGAAAAUUUGUAUCAAAAAAGCUAAAAUUACUAACACAGGUUUAUGGAAUGCUAUUUUACUAUGCAAUUUUGAACUUUAAAUUGGAACAAUGCAAAAGAGCAAGAAAAAUCUUUUUCGCAAAUUUUAAAACCUUGCUGAAAAGUCUUGAGUUCGGGUGUACAAAAUACUUUGUACAUACUUUUGAGUGCGGUUGAGGCGCUGGGAAAAUCUAGCAAUAAACAAUAAAUAUUCUAAAAUUACAUGUUUCCCAGCCGCCAUAAAAUACCACAUGUGAACAAUUCGGUGAUCUUGUGUGCUGACGCAUACGAUAAUGUGUGAGAUAAUAAAGGUUAUGACCCACACGCACAGAUAUCAAUGCGCUCAGUAGAUGCACAAGACCACUUGAAUGAGAUGUCAAGCAGCCCUGCAAUGUUCUCUAUUCAAUAUUAGAAUAGAUAAGAACAAUUUUGUGGCUGCGACUAGGUUAAGAUAGAUUAGUUUCAGUAGUAUGUAAGAAACAUAUUUUAGAAAUAAAAUCAGAAUUGAAUCAACAGCCAAACCAUUCGGCU